RNA transcript from Cucurbita maxima (winter squash), 1510 nucleotides. RefSeq lists it as uncharacterized. The record is from RefSeq and is a predicted model, not a curated record. The transcript has 5 exons. NCBI's taxonomy places the organism in Eukaryota, Viridiplantae, Streptophyta, Magnoliopsida, Cucurbitales, Cucurbitaceae.
AAUAAACGUGAGUUUUCUAAUUUUUACUUUUGAAAAUCAAUUUAAACAUAAAUACGAACAUGUUGAACCAAUUCGUUCGUCAAGUUUGGGCCGUAAGAAGGGAGUAAUAAAGCCCGGCCCAAUUAGUGGCCCAAAUUCAUUGUAGUUUGGGUCUCGGUUCGAUUCCAACGGGAGAUAGACCUUUCUGAGUCGCCAAAUCAAAGCGAAUUCCAUCUCUUGGCGCGGCCAUGGCGUCGUUCGGCUCUCUGAAGAAUGCUAUCUUCGAAAGAGAAGAGAGAAAACAGCAGUAUCAGGCGCAUGUGCGAGGGCUCAAUGCUUACGAUCGCCACAAGAAGUUUAUGCUGACAUAUCGGUUGGUGACAUGUCGAUUGCUUCCAAGGGACAAGUGGAGAUUGAUAAGCGUCGAUCCACUACUGGUUAUCCGUUUACCAUGGCUGGUGAACCUGUUUGUUGGCGUUCAAUAUUGCAGUCUACUAUUGAAUUGUCUAACACCGAAAUAGAGUAUAUGACAAUCACUGUAGCUUUUAAAGAAGCUAUUUGGAUCCAUGAUUUGGUUAAUAACUUGGGUAUUUCUCAGUAACACGUAGAUGCAUUUUGUGAUAAUUAGAGUGCUAUUUGUUUGUCGAAGAACCAAGUCUAUUAUGUUCAUACCAAGUAUAUUGAUGUCCGAUUUCAUUAUAUUCAAGAAAUUAUCAAUGAAGGGGAUAUUUGUUUAUUGAAAAUUUGAACGGCUGAUAAUCCUACGGAUAUGUUGACAAAAGUGAUCGCUCGUGAAAAGUUUUGGCAUUGUUUAGAUUUGAUCAAUGUUGGACGAAAGAAAUAGCUUGUUGACUUGGUGGCAGCCAAACCGAUUAUCUGCUUCGGGAUCUUCUGAUAAGGUGGAGAUUGUUGAGUAGAUGCUCAAAGAAAAGCUUCAUUACAAGAGAAAGAAAGGAAAUGAGAAACAGGAAAGGAUGGAGCAAAAAAUGUCCAAAAGGAAGAGGUACCACUCCAAACUUUAAGGGAAGAAGGCUUCAACAUCAUCAGGGGAUCAUAAAGCUGAUGACAAAAACGACAUUGAUGAAUAUGGGCCUCAAGGCUACAAUUCCGGCCUCCACAGGGCAGUAUUUUCAGGUAUCUGCUUCCUUGAAACCUUUUCGAAGACGACAAAUGGCAAUUUAUAUCUUAAACAUAAAGCAUCAUGUGCAUGUGGUUGAUUCCCUAAUUGUUUAAUUGUAUUGUAGCCUUGUCGUAAUCUGUAUAUCUUGUUCUGUUGUAUGAGCUGUUAUGUGCAGCAGGGUUUUUUAGUUCAGAAAAUCCAUCCACCCAAUUGAAACUAAUCAAAAGCUUUAAACCCUUCCCAUAUAUUCAAUGUUCAUGCUCAGAUCCCCUUUUGUUCAUCAGUCACUCAUUGUCACCACCCACCCUUUUCGACCUCUGUUACGAGUUUCGACCUUUGUUGCCUUCCUCCCAUGGACUUGGACUAUUGUAAUUGUGGUAUACAAAAAAGAAGUUUUGUCGAGGAUUAUGA